This 490-nucleotide long non-coding RNA is filed under the name Oryza sativa (Asian cultivated rice). Its description in RNAcentral is "long non-coding RNA (OSAT_LNC000573)". The record is from RNAcentral. Lineage: Eukaryota; Viridiplantae; Streptophyta; Magnoliopsida; Poales; Poaceae.
CCACGUGUCAUUGAGAUAGGAGUGACAAAUAGUUAUUUACCAAAUCUAAAAGUGGCAAAUAGUUAAAAGCCCCCAGGAUGAGUGACUGGGUCGAUAUGGAUCUUGAGCCGGCACGCCUAGCUGUUGAGGUUAUUGGAGAAGAAUUACGCUAUGUGAGAGAGCGCCAUCACAACACAUGUCAUGCUGUUGGGAGCUAUUGGGAGGGGAGUCUAUCUGGGUAUCAAUCUGGCUGAGACUUGGAGCUGUUGGGAGGGGAGUCUAUCUGGGUAUCAAUCUGGCUGAGACUUGGAUUGAGGAAGAAGUGUUGGAGUCGAGGCCGGUUGCGUCAAAUGAAACUUAUCGCUCUCCUUUCUACAUGAAUAAAUUUAUAGAAGUCAGAUUGGGCACUCCCACAUCCGGCGCUGGAACACUGCCGUUUUUCCCCAGCGCCGUUUUUCCCGUGUUCAAAAAUGUUCGAUGAAAUUCCUAGCAAAUUAUGUGUGAUUCUAUC